RNAcentral lists this ribosomal RNA (253 nucleotides) under uncultured prokaryote. Its description in RNAcentral is "partial 16S ribosomal RNA". It matches the Rfam family "Bacterial small subunit ribosomal RNA", at positions 525 to 777 of the family's 1533-position model. The record is from RNAcentral.
ACGUAGGUGGCAAGCGUUGUCCGGAAUUAUUGGGCGUAAAGCGUACGCAGGCGGUUUCUUAAGUCUGAUGUGAAAGCCCACGGCUCAACCGUGGAGGGUCAUUGGAUACUGGGGAACUUGAGUACAGAAGAGGAGAGUGGAAUUCCACGUGUAGCGGUGAAAUGCGUAGAGAUGUGGAGGAACACCAGUGGCGAAGGCGACUCUCUGGUCUGUAACUGACGCUGAGGUACGAAAGCGUGGGGAGCGAACAGGA